This 565-nucleotide ribosomal RNA is filed under the name Salmostoma bacalia (large razorbelly minnow). Its description in RNAcentral is "partial 16S ribosomal RNA". It matches the Rfam family "Bacterial large subunit ribosomal RNA", at positions 1853 to 2620 of the family's 2925-position model. Lineage: Eukaryota; Metazoa; Chordata; Actinopteri; Cypriniformes; Danionidae. The record is from RNAcentral.
GUCAGCCUGCCAGUGACAUUAGUUCAACGGCCGCGGUAUUCUGACCGUGCAAAGGUAGCGUAAUCACUCGGCCUUUAAAUGGGGUCAAGUAUGAAAGGCUAAACGAGGGCUUAACUGUCUCCCCUUCCUGGUCAGUGAAAUUGAUCUAUCCGUGCAGAAGCGGGUAUAAUAAUACAAGACGAGAAGACCCUUUGGAGCUUUAGGUACAGGACUCACCCAUGUCAAGCAAGUACAUCAAAACCUAAACCUCAUGGCUCAUGAGACCCUACCUUCGGUUGGGGCGACCACGGAGAAAAAGACAUCCUCCAAGUGGACUGGGGGGAACCCUAGAACCAAGAGAUACAUCUCUAAGUCACAGAACAUCUGACCAAAAAUGAUCCGGCCACAAGACCGAUUAACGAACCAAGUUACCCUAGGGAUAACAGCGCAAUCCUCUCCCAGAGCCCAUAUCGACGAGGGGGUUUACGACCUCGAUGUUGGAUCAGGACAUCCUAAUGGUGCAGCCGCUAUUAAGGGUUCGUUUGUUCAACGAUAAAAGUCCUACGUGAUCUGAGUUCAGACCGGA